UAAAGAAGACACUGGCAUGAAUCACUCUCUGGCGUCUCAGCUCUUCAGUGUCGAUCUCCUCUUCGGCGCUGAUCUCCUUGAAAAACAUCUCAUAUGAUCUAAGUGUUGGGAGCUAAGGAUGGAAACAUUUCUGUUGCUUCUGCAUUUGCUGGUUACCAUGAAGCUGUGCAGGAUAGAGACCACAAAUUCUUAACAAAAGCUGUUGAAGAAGCAUAUAAGGGGGUAGAAUGUGGAGAUGGAGGCCCAUUUGGUGCAGUUGUUGUUCGUAAUGAUGAAGUUGUUGGGAGCUGUCACAACAUGGUAUUGAAAAACACUGAUCCAAUU
Molecule: non-coding RNA, 324 nt
Organism: Camellia sinensis
Lineage: Eukaryota; Viridiplantae; Streptophyta; Magnoliopsida; Ericales; Theaceae
Source: RefSeq, a predicted model, not a curated record